This 1341-nucleotide ribosomal RNA is filed under the name uncultured bacterium. Its description in RNAcentral is "partial 16S ribosomal RNA". It matches the Rfam family "Bacterial small subunit ribosomal RNA", at positions 28 to 1381 of the family's 1533-position model. The record is from RNAcentral.
GACGAAUUCUGGCGGCGUGCUUAACACAUGCAAGUCGAACGGUAAGGCUCCAGCUUGCUGGGGUACACGAGUGGCGAACGGGUGAGUAACACGUGGGUGACCUGCCCUGCACUUCGGGAUAAGCCUGGGAAACUGGGUCUAAUACCGGAUAGGACCGCACCGUGAGGGUGUGGUGGAAAGUUUUUUCGGUGUGGGAUGGGCCCGCGGCCUAUCAGCUUGUUGGUGGGGUAAUGGCCUACCAAGGCGGCGACGGGUAGCCGGCCUGAGAGGGUGGACGGCCACAUUGGGACUGAGACACGGCCCAGACUCCUACGGGAGGCAGCAGUGGGGAAUAUUGCACAAUGGGCGGAAGCCUGAUGCAGCGACGCCGCGUGGGGGAUGACGGCCUUCGGGUUGUAAACUCCUUUCACCAUCGACGAAGGGUUUCUGACGGUAGAUGGAGAAGAAGCACCGGCUAACUACGUGCCAGCAGCCGCGGUAAUACGUAGGGUGCGAGCGUUGUCCGGAAUUACUGGGCGUAAAGAGCUCGUAGGUGGUUUGUCGCGUCGUCUGUGAAAUUCCGGGGCUUAACUCCGGGCGUGCAGGCGAUACGGGCAUAACUUGAGUACUGUAGGGGAGACUGGAAUUCCUGGUGUAGCGGUGAAAUGCGCAGAUAUCAGGAGGAACACCGGUGGCGAAGGCGGGUCUCUGGGCAGUAACUGACGCUGAGGAGCGAAAGCAUGGGGAGCGAACAGGAUUAGAUACCCUGGUAGUCCAUGCCGUAAACGGUGGGCGCUAGGUGUGGGUUUCCUUCCACGGGAUCCGUGCCGUAGCUAACGCAUUAAGCGCCCCGCCUGGGGAGUACGGCCGCAAGGCUAAAACUCAAAGGAAUUGACGGGGGCCCGCACAAGCGGCGGAGCAUGUGGAUUAAUUCGAUGCAACGCGAAGAACCUUACCUGGGCUUGACAUAUACAGGAUCGCGCCAGAGAUGGUGUUUCCCUUGUGGCUUGUAUACAGGUGGUGCAUGGUUGUCGUCAGCUCGUGUCGUGAGAUGUUGGGUUAAGUCCCGCAACGAGCGCAACCCUUGUCUUAUGUUGCCAGCACGUUGUGGUGGGGACUCGUAAGAAACUGCCGGGGUUAACUCGGAGGAAGGUGGGGAUGACGUCAAAUCAUCAUGCCCCUUAUGUCCAGGGCUUCACACAUGCUACAAUGGUCGGUACAGUGGGUUGCCAGUCCGUGAGGGCGAGCUAAUCCCGCAAAGCCGGUCUCAGUUCGGAUCGGGGUCUGCAACUCGACCCCGUGAAGUCGGAGUCGCUAGUAAUCGCAGAUCAGCAACGCUGCGGUGAAUACGUUCCCGGGCCU